This 521-nucleotide long non-coding RNA is filed under the name Homo sapiens (human). RNAcentral's name for it is "HSALNT0409317". Lineage: Eukaryota; Metazoa; Chordata; Mammalia; Primates; Hominidae. The record is from RNAcentral.
AUCAUCGCCACCACCAUCCCCAUCACCAACAUCAUCACCAUUAUCACUAUCAUCAUACCAUCACUGUCACCAUUAUCAUCACCAUCAUCACCACCAUCAUCACCAUCAUCAUCAUCACCAUUAUCACCAUCACCAUCAUCACCACCAUCAUCAUAAUCACCACUAUCACCACCAACACCAUCACCAUCACCAUCACCAUUAUCACUACCAUCAUGACAUCAUUAUCACCAUUAUCAUCACCAUCAUCAUCACCAUCACCAUCAUCAUCACCAUCAUAAUGCCAUCAUUAUCACCGUUAUUGUCACCAUCACCUUCAUCACCACCACCAUCAUCAUCACCACCAUCAUCAUCAUCAUCACCAUCACCAACACCAUCAUCACUAUCAUAAUACCAUCAUCACCAUCAUCACCAUCACCAUCAUGAUCACUAUCAUCACCAUUACCAACAUCUCCAUCAUCACCAUUAUCACCACCAUCACUGCCACCACUACCACCACCAUCAUCACCAUUACAACCAACUUC